This 429-nucleotide long non-coding RNA is filed under the name Phoenix dactylifera (date palm). RNAcentral's name for it is "long non-coding RNA (PDAC_LNC016034)". The record is from RNAcentral. Lineage: Eukaryota; Viridiplantae; Streptophyta; Magnoliopsida; Arecales; Arecaceae.
CAAGGUUAGAUUCAUUCAAAUAAACAAUGAAAUGUAUCUAUAUCAAUUUAUACAAAUAUACUGAGAGUAAUAAACUUAUAAAUGAAGUAUCGAUUUAACUUAUAACAUACUCUAGAUAAUUGCUUGUUAAUCAUCAAAAUAACACUAUCAUCCUCAAUCUCUCCCUUUUUGAUGAUUAUAAAAUAAAGAGUAUGAGCCUAUUGAUACUUAUCUUAAAAUCAGUUUUUGAAAGGGCUUAACUUGCUGAAUUUCAGCUUUUCAUAUAUAAGAGUGAAGUCUCCCCCUAUAUCAUUCAAAUGUUGCCAAUUUGACUUUUUGAAUUGCUCCCCCUUUCAUUUAUAAUUCAUUAAAGAUGAAACUCCAAAAGUUUGAGAUAAAACAUGAGUUUCAGGUUAUGUAUCGAGGUGUGAAAGGUGCGUGCCAAAUUCU